CUUUUCUUCCUCCUUCGUCUUUUCCUCCGGGCGCCAAGCUCCCGAGAGCUGCCGCCAUGGACAUCACCGAGCCGCCGCCUCCAGCCGAACGACGACGGACCGACCACGUCACGAGCUCCGACCCUUCUUCCUCUACGUCCAUGCCCAAGGAAUUGCACCGGGAACCUCUACGUCGAGCUCUACUUCGUCUUAUUCCUCUACGGACGCCGGCGCUUCCUCGCCAAAUUCCCGCGAUACGAGGCUUCCUCGACUCCGAUCUGCUAGACCUUCUUCUUCUACACUCCGGUUCGUACGACGACGACUACGCUUGUGUUCUUCUUCCAGGAUUCUUGCUCAAUUCCGGGCAAUUGAGUACUCCAGUCAAGCAGCCCUUCCUUGACCAUGUUGAUUAUACGUAUUGCUUCUCCCUCAAAUCUUGCAUUAAGUUACGAUCUCAGUCUUGUCAUGAUGCCUCUAGGUUGCAUAGCUUGUUAGUCAGCUCUACUUGAUGCCCCAUGUCUUGUUACUUGUCCUAUUACCAUGUCACAUGUUUGUUGUUGCCCUACAUUUUGGUCAUUAGAUGUCAUGCUUAGUUGCGA
Long non-coding RNA from Brachypodium distachyon (stiff brome), 578 nucleotides. RefSeq lists it as uncharacterized. NCBI's taxonomy places the organism in Eukaryota, Viridiplantae, Streptophyta, Magnoliopsida, Poales, Poaceae. The record is from RefSeq and is a predicted model, not a curated record. The transcript has 2 exons.